UACGUAGGGGGCUAGCGUUGUCCGGAAUCAUUGGGCGUAAAGAGCGCGUAGGCGGCCAGAUAAGUCCGGUGUGAAAGUCAAAGGCUCAACCUUUGAAUGCCGCUGGAAACUGUCUGGCUAGAGUCCGGGAGGGGCGAGUGGAAUUCCUGGUGUAGCGGUGAAAUGCGCAGAUAUCAGGAGGAACACCAAUGGCGAAGGCAGCUCGCUGGGACGGUACUGACGCUGAGACGCGAAAGCGUGGGGAGCAAACAGG
RNAcentral lists this ribosomal RNA (253 nucleotides) under uncultured bacterium. RNAcentral describes it as "partial 16S ribosomal RNA". It matches the Rfam family "Bacterial small subunit ribosomal RNA", at positions 524 to 776 of the family's 1533-position model. The record is from RNAcentral.